Molecule: ribosomal RNA, 244 nt
Filed under: uncultured Faecalibacterium sp.
Lineage: Bacteria; Bacillati; Bacillota; Clostridia; Eubacteriales; Oscillospiraceae
Description: partial 16S ribosomal RNA
Rfam family: Bacterial small subunit ribosomal RNA
Source: RNAcentral
GGCGAACGGGUGAGUAACGCGUGAGGAACCUGCCUCAAAGAGGGGGACAACAGUUGGAAACGACUGCUAAUACCGCAUAAGCCCACGGCUCGGCAUCGAGCAGAGGGAAAAGGAGCAAUCCGCUUUGAGAUGGCCUCGCGUCCGAUUAGCUAGUUGGUGAGGUAACGGCCCACCAAGGCAACGAUUGGUAGCCGGACUGAGAGGGUGAUCGGCCACAUUGGGACUGAGACACGGCCCAAACUCC